AUUGAACUCUGGCGGCAUGCCUUACACAUGCAAGUCGAACGGCAGCACGGAGCUUGCUCUGGUGGCGAGUGGCGAACGGGUGAGUAAUAUAUCGGAACGUACCCUAGAGUGGGGGAUAACAUAGCGAAAGUUACGCUAAUACCGCAUACGAUCUAAGGAUGAAAGUGGGGGAUCGCAAGACCUCAUGCUCGUGGAGCGGCCGAUAUCUGAUUAGCUAGUUGGUAGGGUAAAAGCCUACCAAGGCAUCGAUCAGUAGCUGGUCUGAGAGGACGACCAGCCACACUGGAACUGAGACACGGUCCAGACUCCUACGGGAGGCAGCAGUGGGGAAUUUUGGACAAUGGGCGAAAGCCUGAUCCAGCAAUGCCGCGUGAGUGAAGAAGGCCUUCGGGUUGUAAAGCUCUUUUGUCAGGGAAGAAACGGUGAAAGCUAAUAUCUUUUGCUAAUGACGGUACUUGAAGAAUAAGCACCGGCUAACUACGUGCCAGCAGCCGCGGUAAUACGUAGGGUGCAAGCGUUAAUCGGAAUUACUGGGCGUAAAGCGUGCGCAGGCGGUUUUGUAAGUCUGAUGUGAAAUCCCCGGGCUCAACCUGGGAAUUGCAUUGGAGACUGCAAGGCUAGAAUCUGGCAGAGGGGGGUAGAAUUCCACGUGUAGCAGUGAAAUGCGUAGAUAUGUGGAGGAACACCGAUGGCGAAGGCAGCCCCCUGGGUCAAGAUUGACGCUCAUGCACGAAAGCGUGGGGAGCAAACAGGAUUAGAUACCCUGGUAGUCCACGCCCUAAACGAUGUCUACUAGUUGUCGGGUCUUAAUUGACUUGGUAACGCAGCUAACGCGUGAAGUAGACCGCCUGGGGAGUACGGUCGCAAGAUUAAAACUCAAAGGAAUUGACGGGGACCCGCACAAGCGGUGGAUGAUGUGGAUUAAUUCGAUGCAACGCGAAAAACCUUACCUACCCUUGACAUGGCUGGAAUCCUUGAGAGAUCAGGGAGUGCUCGAAAGAGAACCAGUACACAGGUGCUGCAUGGCUGUCGUCAGCUCGUGUCGUGAGAUGUUGGGUUAAGUCCCGCAACGAGCGCAACCCUUGUCAUUAGUUGCUACGAAAGGGCACUCUAAUGAGACUGCCGGUGACAAACCGGAGGAAGGUGGGGAUGACGUCAAGUCCUCAUGGCCCUUAUGGGUAGGGCUUCACACGUCAUACAAUGGUACAUACAGAGCGCCGCCAACCCGCGAGGGGGAGCUAAUCGCAGAAAGUGUAUCGUAGUCCGGAUUGUAGUCUGCAACUCGACUGCAUGAAGUUGGAAUCGCUAGUAAUCGCGGAUCAGCAUGUCGCGGUGAAUACGUUCCCGGGUCU
This 1352-nucleotide ribosomal RNA is filed under the name uncultured bacterium. RNAcentral's name for it is "bacterial SSU rRNA". It matches the Rfam family "Bacterial small subunit ribosomal RNA", at positions 28 to 1381 of the family's 1533-position model. The record is from RNAcentral.